This 3451-nucleotide long non-coding RNA is filed under the name Fukomys damarensis (Damara mole-rat). RNAcentral's name for it is "lncRNA (ENSFDAG00000032772.1)". Lineage: Eukaryota; Metazoa; Chordata; Mammalia; Rodentia; Bathyergidae. The record is from RNAcentral.
AUGCACAUCCAGGUGGUCAAGAGCAGCAGGGGAGAAGAGCACAACGUGACAGCUGAUGGCCUGGGAGACCAAGGACACCCAAGCUCAAGGACACCUGCUGUACACAUCGCCGCGGCUCUCCACUUCCAAGUUCCCUGCAUGCUGUGCACCGUGGACACCUUUAGCCCAUCCCGGACUCGGGGCAGCGUUUCCUCUGUGGCUCUGCGUGGGAUCAGCCAACACUCAGGAGCCACGAACUGCACCCAAGUUCUCAUGUUCUCAUGCAACAAAGAGAAAGUGAGGCUAGGAAGGGAACUGCCAUUCCUACCCUUAGGAAACCCUGCGAUGAUUAAACUGAUGACCGUCCACAGUCAGGCCGCACCAGCUGGCACCUGCUAUCAGGCGAUGCACCGACACACCCAUUCCCGCACAGUCCUGCGGGCAGACAUAGUAGGAAGCCCAUUUGCAGAUGAGGAGACCGAGGCCCAGAGACAUUAAACCCUGUUCCUCCAGCUACACAGAUGGUAGCAGCUGGGAUCCAAGUCAUCUUCUUGGCACGGUGCCUGGAACAUAAUAAGUGCUCAUUAAUUUGUGCUUUGUUUUUUCAGAAAAGGGCUUAGGUCCUUGGCUCAGUCUUUGGGAAAGAAUGCUGUCCCUGCCCUGCAAGCCGGCACGUUCCGCCUUCUCCCAGGCAACGGGAAGAAAGGCUCCUCUGGCAGGAGAGCCCAGCUGCCCAGCUCUACAGCCAGGCCUGGCCACCGCUGCCCGGUAACCGCGGCGGAUCCAGGCCACCCGCUUGGCGUCACACCCACCACUGCCCCCGUGGAAGAGGAAACGCUUUCUGCUGCUUCAGCCCACACCUGUGCGUUCGCGCUCACACGUGGUGCUUUUCUUCCACCGGUGUGUCAUUUGCACUGGAAGCAAGGGCAGCUUUGACAGAGCCAGGAUUGCGGGGCACGGGAAGGAACAGGGGCAGAGCGGAGCACUGGGACUGAGCAUGUCGUCUCCUUGCCCUUCCCAGCAGCCCUGGACAGGAAGUGUCAUUAGCCCCCAUUUUGCAUCUGCGAAAACAAAGGCUCAGCACCAAGCUACUUGUAGUGAGGACUUGCUACCAUCAUACAGCACAAUGUUUGGGGUUUGUUUGCUUCGUAGUUCAGGCUGCCCUUGAACUCACUAUGUAGCGCAGGGGAUGCUCUUGCUUCAGCCGCCUGAGUGCUGGAAUUACAGACAUGUACCGUCAUGCGGAUCAUAAAGAGCACUGAUUGAUUUUUUAAAAAAUCCCCACCAUCUGUAUGUCCUCACAGAGGAGACAGAGACUCGCCCAAGAUCACUUACAAAAGCCAGAAUCCAAAGCCAAGCAUGUGUGAUUCCCAAACACUUCCCCCUGCCUCUAAAUGUCAUUGUUUUCACGCUUCUUGGUUUCUUUUAGACACUGGAAACCUGUCCCAAGGUGUGAUCCAAAUCCUCUCCUCCUGGGGAUCCCUGGAUCUGCAGGAGAACACUGAGUGUGAGCCACUACUUCCUGUGCGCUUUCCUUUCUCCAAGUAGAAAUGCAGGCGAGUGACCCUCUGGUACGCAGGUCCUUAGGAGGACUUGGUCUCAUUCUACUGCACGUUGCAGCUCAAACUCCCUCGCUCCACACUGCAUCAUCUCUACUUGCUGCUUCCAAGUCAGUUCAAUACAGUAGAUGCUAAGGGCAGUCACGUGGGCCCUGCUGUGUGCGGGGUCCAGGGUGCAGCAGGAAACGAGGUCCACUGGAACAUGCCCCCUGACCCCCACGAUCCUUCCCUCGCCCCGAUCCCCUCUUUGUUCUCGUCCCUGAGAGCUGGCAGGAUGAGGCUUUAUCUAAAGACUUAGCCAUUUCUCAAGUCCCAGGAGUGGUUGAACUUUGUUUGUUUUUGGUACCGGGGAUCGAACUCGGGUCCUUGAGGCAGGCAGCGGAACCACUGAGCCAAAUCCCCGGCCCUGUUCGUUUUUGUUUUUUGAGACACAGUCUCGUCAUGUAGAGCAAACUCGCCUUGAACUCACCUAGAACCUCCAGCCUAAGCCUCCCAAAUGCUGGUAUUGCGGACAUGCACCACCACAUCCUGUUGGUUGAACUUUUAAAAAAAUGUCCUUUGGAGGAACCUGGCUGUAGUGGGGAGGAGAUGGAAGCGGAUACACCUUUGAAGCAGUUUGCAAGGCCAGAGACUGUGGAAUAUGGUGACUCCAGGAAGGGGGCGGGAUUAUAAGGCAUGGCCCCGCCUCCGCUAGGGGUGAUUGGAUACAGGCUGAACACAUGACCCAAUCUGGUCCAGUCAGUUUCAGUUUGUGUUGCCUGGUACCCUUUCUGGAAACUCGGUUUUCUGGAUGGAGCCCUCAGCGUAGAGGUUCCUAUUGGCUUCCCCAUGACUCACAUUUUUGCCGCUUUAAUUGUGCAAGUGGCCUUCGUUGCCUCUCCUUGAUGUCUUCUUGGAGUUUCCCACCAGGCCAAGCGCCACUUUCCCUCCCCUGUAUCUUGGAUGUCAACCUGCAACCUGUUUCCCUCGUACAACCCGCCUCUUGUAGGGCUGUCUGAAGAUCUGGGAAUCUGUACCAAAAGCUCAAAAUCAGCUGUGGUGCUGACGGUAGGGUGGGUCCCGAGGCCAAGGCCCAUCUGUCCUCCCCUGAACAAUCUUCACCUGACUCCACCCAUCUUAGCCUCCCUGGACAUGAGCCAAGCCUCGGGGCCACAUCACGUUGUGUCCCCACAUACCUGGCAGUGACGCCCUGCUUGAGCUUGCUGUUUUCUUCAUUUUAGGUUUAAAAGGCAGCUCAAGGGCUGGGGAUUUAGGUGAGUGGUCAUGCUGCCUGCCUUGCAAAUUCAAGGUCCCAAGUUCAAUCCCUGGUACAGAAAAUAAAAUAAAGUAAAAGGCAGCUCAUAACAGCCAACCCUGCAGUCCUUGUAAUCAACACAGCCCGCAUUACUGAAAUGCUAAUGCUCUGCUGCCCCCCUGUACCUCAGCCGGGGCCACACAGGCUGUCAGUUACUGCCUGCUGCACAGGCUGGGGGCUGUCACCAUCCCACCUCAACGGGUUCUGCUGCCUCUCAGCGGUGACCCAGUUUCUGAAUGCCGCCGCCCUGUGGUGCUGCUGUCAGGGCCUGGGGCAGAGACCUCCUCCUGCCGACCUGAGGCAAAGCAAGGAAACACCAGGCUCUGUGUGCUACUGCGUGGCUGGAGACAGAGGCGUGAGGAGAGAGGGACCGGUGGUUCUCAGUUCUCGAAGGCAGGAAGCAGCCGCUGGAGCCGGGCUGUCUUGGUUCGCAUCCUUACCCUUUCCUCUUCCUCCACUCACAGGUGGGGGAGCAGGAAGAGGAAGGCGCUGCUUUGGGACUCUGGAGUCAGUGGGAAAUCAUGUCAGGGCUUCCCACAGUGCCAGGCUUCUCACAAACACUCAGUAAGAGGGGAGCCUGUUACCCCAGGUACAGUGGAGGAAAUUGAAGUGCUUUCUC